UUUGACCUCAAAUCAGGUAGGAAUACCCGCUGAACUUAAGCAUAUCAA
Molecule: ribosomal RNA, 48 nt
Filed under: Meyerozyma guilliermondii
Lineage: Eukaryota; Fungi; Ascomycota; Pichiomycetes; Serinales; Debaryomycetaceae
Description: partial 28S ribosomal RNA
Source: RNAcentral